GGGGAUGCAAUGGUUUCGACGGAUAUCUAGAAGUAUAAAUAGCGAGUGAUGGAUUCUCGUGGGCCAUCUAAAAAACGAGAGAAAAAAUAAUUAACAAUAAUAAAUUAGCAUUAGCUGCCUAAGUGCGGCUACGUCUGACUUAGCGUGCCACUUGGCUAAACUCGGGCGUCGAUAAAGUGGAAACAAAGCUAUCAAAACUUUGAGAUAGUGGGUAUUUAUAAAGUUACCAAAAUUAAGAGCUUGUUUGUUAGCAAUUAAUCGAGGGAAAUCUAGAUAACAAACUGCACUCGGAGAAGUUUAUAUGGAAGGGUUUUCGGACACGAGUUCGAUUCUCGUCAUCUCCACCA
This 347-nucleotide transfer-messenger RNA is filed under the name Clostridia bacterium. It matches the Rfam family "transfer-messenger RNA". Rfam says of the family: Bacterial tmRNA, also known as 10Sa RNA or SsrA, is named for its dual tRNA and mRNA-like properties. Its role is to liberate the mRNA from a stalled ribosome. To accomplish this part of the tmRNA is used as a reading frame that ends in a translation stop signal. The record is from RNAcentral. Lineage: Bacteria; Bacillati; Bacillota; Clostridia.